GUGCGGCCUGAAUAUCCUGGCUGCGCCCAAGCAAAAUAUAAUAAUUACCUGGCGCAACCACAAUUUCCCUGGUGUUGGCGCAGUGUUCGCGCACCCCGGUCAAGC
This 105-nucleotide small RNA is filed under the name uncultured Enterobacter sp. RNAcentral describes it as "ArcZ RNA". It matches the Rfam family "ArcZ RNA". From Rfam's summary of the family: This RNA was discovered in E. coli during a large scale screen. SraH expression is highly abundant in stationary phase, but low levels could be detected in exponentially growing cells as well. Lineage: Bacteria; Pseudomonadati; Pseudomonadota; Gammaproteobacteria; Enterobacterales; Enterobacteriaceae. The record is from RNAcentral.